CAUCGGAACGUGCCCAAUCGUGGGGGAUAACGCAGCGAAAGCUGUGCUAAUACCGCAUACGAUCUACGGAUGAAAGCAGGGGAUCGCAAGACCUUGCGCGAAUGGAGCGGCCGAUGGCAGAUUAGGUAGUUGGUGAGGUAAAGGCUCACCAAGCCUUCGAUCUGUAGCUGGUCUGAGAGGACGACCAGCCACACUGGGACUGAGACACGGCCCAGACUCCUACGGGAGGCAGCAGAC
This 237-nucleotide ribosomal RNA is filed under the name uncultured Variovorax sp. RNAcentral describes it as "partial 16S ribosomal RNA". It matches the Rfam family "Bacterial small subunit ribosomal RNA", at positions 116 to 354 of the family's 1533-position model. Lineage: Bacteria; Pseudomonadati; Pseudomonadota; Betaproteobacteria; Burkholderiales; Comamonadaceae. The record is from RNAcentral.